This is a long non-coding RNA of Cygnus olor (mute swan), 4922 nucleotides long. RefSeq lists it as uncharacterized. The record is from RefSeq and is a predicted model, not a curated record. NCBI's taxonomy places the organism in Eukaryota, Metazoa, Chordata, Aves, Anseriformes, Anatidae. The transcript has 2 exons.
AAAGUCACGAAAGUAUUUGUUGGACAUUCAGUACAAGGUCUACAUAAAUAAUGAUCUGUCUAUGGGGACUUGCUGUGUGUUUGCGUAGAUGGUGCUGCACCUGCAUGCCUUCAGCUCCGGCUCUUAGGAAUAAAGUGAAGUUGGCAGCAUAACCACAUAGGCUGUCUGUCAUGGUAGUGCUGUGGCAUUGCAUCCUUUGGGGUCUGUAAAGGAAAGCAAAUGGUACAAGGAGGUGCUCGUGUAGCGUCCAACAUCACGGCUUUUUAGGAAGAAAAGCAGAGUGGGGUGCAAAACCCUCAUUUGUGGGUAAGGAAAGGAAACUCUUGAAAGAACUCCAGCAGCUAAUGAAUUAUCUUUCCUUGCUUCUGUCUAGCCAUAUUUGAAUUUUGUAUUAGUUUGAUUAUUCAGGUCAGAUCAGAUUUAGGUCAGUUGCAAUGGAUUUUUUCCAAAUCCAGUUCCCUCAAUUCCUACUGUAAACUCUUACCAGAUGACACGAUGCGAAGCUGGAACAGACUUGAGCUGUGAGAUGACCAAAUAAAAUCUCAGUGGGAACCACUUCCACGUUCCUAAGAUCAGUUUCUCAUGUAAUAAAUUCUGCAUCCAAAAUUAUAUCAAAUACUUUUCUGACAAGAGUUCUUUUUUUUUUUUUCCUAGCAGACAAAUCCCAGCAGAGCUAUUUAUAAGAUGCCUCUCUCUUGUGUUUGCUCUCACAUGCCUGUUAUUCAGACCUACAGUGAAGAACAAAUACAUUUAAAAAUUUCUCAGUGUCCUUGCCAGUGCUCUUGGACCCACCUUGUUUUGUCUCGUCUGAAAUCCUCCAGUACAUUUCUUUGAUAAUUCUUCUGUCAGUAAGAGUUGUCGUAGGAAAUCACCAUUAAAGGCUUCUCCCCAAAGGAACAAUCCGGAUUUAUUUGGUGACAUCUUCUCUUUGCAGACCGUUUCAUGGCCUUGUUCUGCCUGACCCUCUGCUGGCUGUGAGGGAUGGAGAGGAGUCAUUCAAGUGAAUGCCAUGCUCGUGCCAAGUGCCACACUAUAGGAUAAAAUGUGCAAAAUCUUGUACAACAGAGAUAACCGAGAGGGUGAGCACCUGGGUGUGCAUGGUGGUGUCCUUGGGCUUGCAAGGAGGAGGCCAGGCCGUUUGUGAGAGUUCAAACAAAUGCUCUCACAGGAAAAGUUGCUUUAGUUGUUUUUUUUUUAAUAUUAAAUUUACUUCCACCUUUGUUAAAACUGAACGAAAAACCAUCCAGAACUUCUCCCUAGACCAACCUACAGUUUCUUCUCCUGUUACAGCCUUUUCAUUCAUUUCCUGGUAUGUUCAAUGACACCAGACUUCCCUGAGGUGUCUACUGGCACACGUUUCGCAACGUGUCAAUCUCUUCUGCAUUAAAUCAGGCAGAUAAGACCCGUGCCUUCAGUUCUGGCAAGGCCUGGCAUACCUAGGUCACACGAGUAGGGCAGGUUCUUCCCUGUGUGUCUCCUCCCUGGCUGCAAAAGCCAAGUUAAAUCGUCAUCUACCAUUCGUCUGCUUGAUUAGAUGUGUGCUGUGCGUACCUCAAAAUGCGUGAUGCUUUAAAGCUAGAUUUGCUAUUUAAAUAAGAGGUUUGCCUUAAUUGGCUGUUAUAAAUUACAAGCAAGAGGGAAUGAUUUAUUGCUUAUAAUUAGAAAUGAGUUACGAAGGGGAAUGUUGGUAAUCAUAAAAUAAAGCUUGGAAUACAUUGAUUUCCAGAUGGCUGGCAGUGAAACUGCUCUUUAAUGUAGAAUAGACCAGACACAAGGAAAAAAAAUCUGUCAUCUGUCUUUAUUCCUUGAUGGAUUACUUGGAUGAGUCUAUAGUUACCUGAAUUUUGAAAUAUUAGUCUUGGCUGCAUAGUCUGAUGAGAGAAACUUAAUUUGCACAGUGGUAUAUGCUAUCAGAGGCAGUGGAAGUGGUGAGUUAGUGUUAUGCCUAGCAUGAUUUUUGUCCUUGUAAUGUCACCAAGGAAGAUCUAAUGAUAAAUCUGGCAGCACCUUUGGGUAUAACAGUCUCAGCGGAUUGUUCUCAGAGGCUGCAGGUUACUAAGAUGUUUUUCUUUUCAUCUUUUGCCUCAUUAGCAGUUUUUAUGAGGUUGAGAUUGAUCAAAACACCUGUCCAAAAGCAAAUAUUUGUAAUCCUCCCUUUGUGAGUCUAGCAAAUACAUUUGUAUCAGAAAUAAAGACAGCGGUGCUACUGCUGAGAUCUUUUCAGUAAUACGUUUCUGUUGAGAUGAUGUGUUUGUUUGACUUUUUGAAUUUCAUUUCUGCUACUAUAGUCCCAAGCAUGAUUUAAAAAUGAUUUAUGUUUGCCUUAUCUGCUAAUAAUAGUGUUUUCUGCUAUAAUAGAUGCAUUCUGCACUGUUACCAUUUGAAAGACCAUGCUACGAGAUAGUUGGACGUAUUUGGAUUGUCACCACAUGAGUUGUCUCACGCUUGUGUCUUAAAAGUGACAUUGUCAUUAGACUUGCUUAACUGAAACCAUCAUGAUUAAUCAUUUACCUUCAUUAAAAUGCUUCACAGCUUCCUUAUUUUAAAUAGUUUUUCCCAGCAAGGUGCAAAUAUGCCUCGCUGCCAUCGUUUCAUCUGGAAAAAUUUGCCUGGUGAAAGGAAUAGCAUAUUUUCAACUAAUAUUUUCCUGACCUGUGGAGAGAUGAGCUCAUCAGUAUCUUUAUUGACAAGCCCAGGAAGAAGGUGUGUCAACCAGAAAUAUUAGAUCAGUCAGCCUUUCUUGUCCUGGAGCAAUUGUAAUUUCCCAUGGUCUGCAGCAAUUUCCUUUAGAAUCUGAUAUGUGCAGAGAUUGUUUGGAUCUGCUGCUGUAGUGUAAUUUCAUUUGGUCCCAAUAAGGUGGCCUUAGAUUUCAUUCUUUUCAUUUUUGCUGUUGAAAAUCUUUUGUUUUAGUAGAAAGAAUAACAAGUUGCCAUGUUACAGCACCUAAAUGAGGAAUGAGUGCUACAGCUAUGCAGAAGAAUAUUGCCCACUCCGAGGUGGGUUAGUAACAGCAGGUGUUGGUAACCUCCGCUCCUCUUAGAAAAGUCUGAAAUGGAUGUUCAGUUCACUAUACUUGUGAACAAAGUACAAAAUUCUUCUUGAAAACAAAGUUCUUGCUUUUCAAGAGAGAUACAGCAGUGUGUUGGGGAAUGGUGUAGGUGCUUAUUUCUUUGCUGAUAACUGUUUCCUGUAGCCAGUGAUAGGGGUUCUUAUUUUUUUGCUGGUUUACUCCUACGAGUUGUUGGUCCCUAGAUACUUAAGCCUGGGUAUUUGCUAGAAGAGGCCGAUCUCAUUAGCGCUGAGGAUGUUCUCAGUGCCGCAUUGUCUGAUGCCGCGCUGAUGAAAGCGUCGCUCCUCUGAUCCAGCAUUAAAGAGGACUGAGUAGGAAUCAGAAGUGGGAAAAAUUUCUCAUUUCGCUCUAGUUUUUGUUGUCACUUUAGCUUUGCUUUUUUCCCUCCUUAAAAUAGCUCUUUCUGUGGCGUUGCAUGCUCAGAAAUAGCAGGAACACGUUGGCUACCUUGGUGUAGGUGAUGGAGUUCUUGCAGGCGUUGGGCUCAGGCAGUGCUCAGCACACCCUGAUCUUGCUGCCAGGUGCCUGGUUGUGUCUGGUAGGGUUCUUACCCUGCCUCAUUCCCCGUCAGCCUCUUGGUAUGGCUGGCAAUGCUGGGUUAGCCAGCUCCAAAUGAGCUUAGUGUGCGUGAGCUGAGGUCAUUGCAGUGAGGACGUGCCCUAGGUUGGUGUCUCUUGGUCAUUAGCUGAGGUCUCCAUGGCCCUAUCACUAGAAAGAGUGAUUCAGAGAAGCUCCCUGAGGCCUUCGUGCUGCUGAUGAGCUGGGUUGGGCUAAGGGCUGGUCAGCCUGGCUUCCAGAAAGCCAAAAAUAACUCUGUGCCUCACGUUCAGGCACACAUGGUGUCAAGGUGUGAGCAUCAGAGCUGUUAUGUUUUUCUGUAAAGCUGACAUUUCUGUGGCUGUAUCUGAACUUCUUGUGUGUCACGGUGCGCCCUUACACCCCAGUCCCUGUUCUGAAGGCAUCAGGCAGACGUUUGUCAGUGUCACAACCAGCCAUGGCCUUGGCCAUGUGCCUUGGUUUCCCUCCCAGGGGAAGGGAAUGGCUCCUGUCAGCACCCAGCUAGGACUGGGUGCAGAGGACGGUGGGCCUGCAGCUCUAUAUGCAAACCCUGAAGUGCUGUGGGAUUGGUGUUGUGAUUCCAGUCUGCGUUUUGUCUUCUGGAAAAGAGCCGUGGAUCCUGCCCAGGAGGGUCUCUCUUCCCUCUGGUGCUGAUGGUAGAACGAUGUGUCCGUAUCUCCUGCUGCUGCUGUUUCCAAUAAGAGCAUUAAAGCCUCGCAGGGAGGUAAUUCCCAGCUUUCCGAUGUCUGGUAAACUGACUUCCUGAGGCAAAACCAUCUGGCCUCAGGUGGGAGGAGUAUCUCAACCAGCACGAAGAACCUGACCGGUCUCCCGAUGAAUCGUUUCUAAAUAGCUUUUUCUGUCACUGAAGUGGCAUACGUUUGAAAUGCCUGUGGUAUGGUUAUAUAGGUUUUAUACACAUUUGUCUUAGAUGACCUGCAUAAUUAUACCACAGGCUUGUGGCUCUGGCCCCAUUGUAUCUCUGCUUGCCAUCGUAUAUCCUGGGUUUGUCUGCAUAUAAAAUUAGUUGUGUGGUAAGCAGCAAUAAGAUGUUCCCUACUUGGAUGGACUAAAUUAAAAUUCAGUAAGAAACAGAGCUUUGGGUGAGUUUCCAAAUUACUUUCAGGAUUUCACUGAGGAGAUUGUUACAGUAUCAUAAACCUUUUCAGUGGGCACACAGCCUGAUGCGAGUUAGCUGCUUUUAUUGCCUCAUAGUAUUCCUUCUAUGUUAUGUUCUGUGCUGUGUAAUCCUUUGUUAUUAAAUAAUCAGCAAAACAAAAACAGUUGUUUGUCA